Molecule: long non-coding RNA, 2196 nt
Organism: Sparus aurata (gilthead seabream)
Lineage: Eukaryota; Metazoa; Chordata; Actinopteri; Spariformes; Sparidae
Source: Ensembl
ACUUAAGCAUCAUGCUGCCAACUUAAAUAUUUCUCUUACAAGAAAAAAAAAACAACAUUAAAAAAUUGACUAAUUCACUAACUAUCAUUCACUCGCACAUUUUUUAAAAAAUGUGCCUUGUUAUCUCUUUUUGCUCGUAUAAACAACAAAAAUGCAUGUAAAAAAUAUGACAGAGAAAGCAUUUUGAUGAGAUGACGAUCCAACUCAGAUCGAAAAGUCUUUUAGAGUAUAUUUCAGAGUAUAUUUCAUGCAGUUUUUCACGCACAAAUUAUUGGAAAAGUAUGAGAAGAAAUGAUGUAUACUUGUGACUUACAGGCAAGGUGUUGUGAGGGAUUCAGCUAUUUCAGGUUUUUACUUAACAGGCCUAGGCUCAACCUCAUCUUUCUUGGGCUCAUCUUUCUUGGGCUCAUCGUCUUCGGAAUCCUCAUCCAUGUCGGGCUCAUCGUCUUCAGAAUCCUCGUCCAUGUUGGGCUCUUCAUUUUCGGUGCCAUCCUCCACGGUGGCCUCAUUAUCUUCUAAGUCAUCCUCCAUGUUGGGCUCCUUCACUUCAGUGGCGUCCUGCUCUGGCUCCUUCACUCCGGCCAGAUUUGGCUUUGGCACAUCAGCUUUAACCUCAUCAUUGAUGGCUUGAUCCAUUGAGAAAGGAUACUCAAACAGUUAUUCAUUUAGUCAAAGAACUUAUGCUGUUUCUUAAUCCCUAUAGAGAAAUCACACAAAUCAUCAAAGCAUAUGAUAUAUGGUGCAUAUACUCCUUGAUACAUGACAUCAGAGUUUAUCAUCUAGUUACCUUUGGGUUUAGCAGAAUCAUUUGCUGAUGGUGCGGCAAUGAUCACAGCCACAAAAGCACAGGCCAGCAGGAGAAUCUGGAUCUUCAUUAUCUGAAAGGAAACAUCAAAAUGUACAAAAAUACUGUGAAAUGGUCCGUGAGUAGUUAGCAACAGAUGCUGUUCAGUCUGUGGGUCUGAAUAAAGAGUAAAACAAAGGUGCUGUAUUUACCUUCAGUUUUCAGUAGCUCUCAGGUCCACAGAACUUCAACUCAAGUCAGGAGUGUUUUGACUUUCCAACUGAUGCACCUUCAAUAUAUAUGUACUUCUGAGCUAAGAAUGUUUGUUCAUCAACAAAGCUCAUCCAAUGAAAAGUCACCACAUGUUUUGCUGGUCUGUGACAAACAUGCUCUAAGGCAAAUGUCAUUGUGUUUGUAUUUUAUAAAAGUACCAGCAGUCAUUCGCACAAAGAUGCUGCAAUAUCAGUAUUGAGAUGUUAAGUCAAAAAUAUUGUGAUAUUUGAUUUUGUCGCCUAGUUGCAACUUUUAUGAAGUCCUUCUGAGGAGAGGUCAAAAUAUUCAGAUAUAUAUCAUGUAUUGUGAUAUAGACCAAAAAUUUGGCAAAUUUUGUCUUGACUUUGUCAGAUUCAGUUCAUGACAACAACUGUAAAGUCUCAUCCUGAGGCCUUCAAAUACUGACAUUAACUCCGAGUAGCCAACCCAAGGUUUUUAGCAUAUGACAAUAAACUAUUCUGUGUCAAGGAGCAUCAAUCAAAGAUAGUGUUUGGAAAAAAAGCCACUUCAUAACGAGUCUGUAGGUGUGUGUUCUGAUCAGAUUUGAUGGACAUCGGCUGGGCAAUAGAAGCAACAUAACUUGGUGCACAGAGUUACAUGACAUCACUUUUUUCCAAAGGAGCCACACACGUCAAACCAGUACAAAGCUCAACCAAUGAAAAGUUUCCACGUGUUUUGCUGGUCUGUGACAAACAUGCUCCAGGGCAAAUGUCACUCUGUUCAUAUUUUGCGAAAGUACCAGUUGUCAUCCCUACAAUAUUGUUGCAGUAUCAAUCUCAAGGUAUUUGGUGAAAAAUAUUGUGACAUUUGAUUUUAAUUGAAAUUAUACAAACAUUGGUUUCACAACUUUAAAAGAAUCCUACUUGCGAUUACAGCGAGGAUGCACAACUAUGAUUUGGUAAAAGUGUCUGUCAAAAUACUGCAUUACCAACUGAAGUCCAAAGUUAAAGGUCCAAUUUGUAAGAUUAAUGGAUUUCUGAGUAUCAUUCCCAAAUUGUCGAACACUGAUGCUUUGGAAUUGUAGGUCUGGUCGGCUGCCACCCCAAAGUGUCACUAGUUGAUGAGUAUUUUUGUUGGACAAAAUGACCCAAAAUGACUCUGAGGUAAAUACACAUCACCAAAAGUGAAUCUCCUAUCAU